This 254-nucleotide ribosomal RNA is filed under the name uncultured bacterium. Its description in RNAcentral is "partial 16S ribosomal RNA". It matches the Rfam family "Bacterial small subunit ribosomal RNA", at positions 524 to 776 of the family's 1533-position model. The record is from RNAcentral.
GACGUAGGGGGCGAGCGUUGUCCGGAAUCAUUGGGCGUAAAGAGCUCGUAGGCGGUUCAGUAAGUCAGGUGUGAAAGCUCCGAGCUCAACUCGGAGAGGCCACCUGAUACUGCUGUGACUAGAAUCCAGUAGGGGAGUGUGGAACUCCUGGUGUAGCGGUGAAAUGCGCAGAUAUCAGGAAGAACACCAGCGGCGAAGGCGGCACUCUGGGCUGGAAUUGACGCUGAGGAGCGAAAGUGUGGGUAGCAAACAGG